UUAUCAGUUUGCUUGACUGAAAAUCCAACAGCGAUAUGAGCAACCAACACCAAGUAGAAACAAUUAAAAUCAAUUACUACUCUUUGAUUAUGUGAUUCAAGUGAUUUUUUAUUUUUCCGUGUAAUGGCCAAGGUAUCCCAUGGAAGGAGAUCAACAAUCUCUGUGGCCAGUAGCCUGCUAAUUGCCUGGCUCAAAAAGCAUGGCCAGUCUUGAAUUUGACAGGAAGCUUCAACAUCAAGGCCUUGUCUCAGAAGUUCACGUAGCGCUGCAACUGCACCUCGUCUCCUCUCCGCAUUUUCCGGCAAGGGAGGUAGGCCCAGUAGAUCUAAUGUGCAUGGUGCUGCAAGCUCCUCCAAGGACUCUUCUAUCUAAAAUUUUCAACUUAAAUCACUUAAAAAUGGUGGUAGAUUUUGUUUUUGGAUAAUACGAGCGAACUUACAUAUGAAGCUCCUCAUCAUUACUAGAUAAGGCAUGCUAAGCAAGUGACAGAACUAAAGGUAAACACAAGUAGCCUAAUCAGGCCUGAUGCAACGCAGCUAUUACCUGAGAUAACAAUGCAAGUUUCCCAAGAGUAACUUUACUCUUCAGAAAAGACUGAGCACGAGCAAGAGCUUCAAAUCCUUGAGAGACUUUGUUCGCCUCGAAAGCAUCCUUGGCGACCGCGCACUUCAUGGAAAAAAAACCCAACCAUAACAUAAAAGAAAAGCAGAAAGUUAGUGAAAACUGGUAACUAGUUUCCAUCCCUGGUUUACUGAUCUUACCUCAGAAAGUGCCAUAGCCAAAAAUAUAUCAUGAAUAUAUGGCUUUGAAUCAAGGUGCCUGAGAACAGACCGGCCAAUAUCCAGCACAAGUUUUUCUUCUCCAACCUGAAGCAUAGUAGCUCACAUCACCGGUUUAUCUCCUAUCCAAAAUCCUUUAUAUCUUAAGCUCAAAAAGGCACAAAACUUGAGAAAACCUUUGAUGAAUCUAUAAGUUUAACGACAAGUGAAACUGCCAUCAAUUCGAUAACUUAGAGCAUCAAUUGAGAGAUAAACCUUGUCAUUGAAAUAGUCAACGUUGAUAGCGAGAUCGGAGAGCUGGAUUGUGCCAUCCCUAAGCUGGAUAUCGAGCUGAUCGAGGUCGAUAUCGCCGAGUAUGAAUUUGCCGAGUUUCUUCUUCAAUAAGAAUUUGACGACCCUCUUCACGGCCCACCUUGAGAAAGCAGCCUCCGCGAAGUUCCAUGGAAACAUCGUGUUCCCCCCUGCCGAUCAGAGAAUCGACUCCAAGAGGGGUCUAGUUUUGGGAUUUUAUGGAAAUUUAGGGUUUCUCGAGUUCGCGGGGGAAUUGGAGGAGGAUGAUGAUGAGGGAGAAAGUUGGUGAUUGCGGAGAGAGAGAGAGAAUCGAAAGCAAAAGUGAGUCACGGUUUUGGAUUUGCCGUGUCGGGAACCUCUUCACUUUUCUUUCCAGAAUCAUGCCAAUCAGAGCCAGAGUAAAUCCUCCAUUUGAUGUCGAUGUUUUUCAGAAUUACACGUCCAUUAGCUGUUACUGUAGAAUGAGACGUCAGGCCAAAAGAUGAAAAAUCUCCAUCCAGCAUAUGUUCCUCAUGAUCUUCCUCAGUUGCUUCUGACACAUGGUCUUCUAAAAUUCUUAUGGAAGUGUCAUCAUACCACCCAGAGUUUCCUCUACUCAAAUCAGUCUCAAGAAACACUUGUCUCCCAGAUGAAUCCCCUUCUUGAGGUACCUCUGACAAGGGAUGGAACUCAGAAAAACAAUAGUCUUCAAUAAUUUCAGGUAGGCCAUCUCUUUCAAGGAAUAUUUGGCUGGUUUCUGGUUUCAAUCUGGACGAUGACUCACCAAUGAACUGAUUAGAAGGUGGUUCCUCAGGAGUAGCAGGUACCCAGUUAGGUGCAUGCCCAUAAGGGGACAUAUAGUUAUUCUGAGAUUCGAAAGAGUCGGACUGACUACUAGGAUUGACAUCAAAUUGGAAAGCAUCUUCAUUUAUUUCGCCCAUCAAACCAAUGAUUCCUGUUUCAGUUUCGGAGCCAAAUCUUAGGUUUUUAAUUUCUCCACUUGAACCAGAGCUACUGAGUGUAUCGCUGAUGUCAAAAGCAUUCCUAGCAUUCGCUUGCUGAAUGUUGUCCCAUCGAGUCUGCAAGUGCACAGCUGAUUCCUCCAAAUCAGGAGCAAACAACUGUUGGAGCUGCGUGGCCAAGCGAAUCAAACCAGAGGUUGUGUCACUGCAAGUUUCAAUUAACAAGUGAGAUUUUGAACACUCUAACUCCCAGAGAAGGCCACUUUCAGAGUUUGUCCUUAGAGUUGCUUCAAUUAAAGCUUCAGUAGCAACUUUAACAUAGCCAGUCUUAUGAAGAUUAGCUGAACUGUACGUUCCAUCAAGUCUUCUAAGGUCUAAAUCCAAGGACAGGAGAAGCCCAAGAUCUUGAAUCCUGAUUCUGUAGUCAUUUCUUAUGGAAUCAACCAGACUUGUCUUCGAAAGGCUAAAAGAAGAUGCCGCUACCAGACAGGCCACCCACGGAUCACUUGAUUGAUGUAAAUGAUCCGUAUUCUCGUGGUGGGGCUCAUAGCUUAUACCAACAUCAACCAAAUUAAGAGUAAACGAGGAGCUACUAGAUGAGCUGGAGUUUCUCUACUAGACUUCUAAUGCUAAUGUACAAAAGCGUAUGCAAAUGUAGCAAAAAGUUAAAUUGAAUGAAUCAAUCAAAGGAAUUACCCAUGAUCAUUUUUUCAUAAAAAAAGCUUAUGUCAACUAAAUGGAAACUGAAGGCCAUACGCAAUGCUGUUAAAGCAGAUUCUAUGAAUUUUACUACUGCACACUCAACAUCUCUAUUUUCAUUGUUUCAGUCAAUGCUUGAGAACAUAGCACAAUUCAUAUUUCAUUAAGUUGAUCAUGCCAUUUAUAUCAGGGAGAACCAUCAGCCAAGGAAUAAUUACGUCUGCACUCCUAGCAACAUACAGACACAAAAUUCUCGGUAAAAGACAUCAGGUUUACCAACGAUGGUGUUGCAGAAGUAGUUCUCAACUCUUUCCCCAAGAUCGAAUUACGAACCGCAGAGUCUGAAUUUGAAUCCAGCUGCUUAAGUUUUUCAAGGGUCUCAGCCUCGGAACCCUGUGUUAUCCAACAUGUAGGUCCAGUAGUACUUAAUUAAAUGUACAAGACAUGAAUCUUGCGGAGCAGGUAAUUUAAGUAAAUUUGAAGUGCUUAAGAUGCAACGACACAUUGGAAAGGGAAAAAGUACCUGGUUUAGAAGAAAUGAGCAAAAAGCUUCCUCAAAUUUCAGAUCAACACCUUCUGAUGCUAUUAGACAUUCGCAUAUAGAUUUUGCUUUAUUAAUCUACACAAACAUACUGAAUGUUAUACUUUAUAAACGAACAGACUAGAAAAAUGAACCAAUUAGUUAAAAUUUAUCAAACGACAGAAAAGAGUUACAUACCUUAUCAGUUUGCUUGACUGAAAAUCCAACAGCGAUAUGAGCAACCAACACCAUGUAGAAACAAUUAAAAUCAAUUACUACUCUUUGAUUGUGGGAUUCAAGUGAUUUUUUAUUUUUCCGUGUAAUGGCCAAGGUAUCCCAUGGAAGGAGAUCAACAAUCUCUGUGGCCAGUAGCCUGCUAAUUGCCUGGCUCAAAAAGCAUGGCCAGUCUUGAAUUUGACAGGAAGCUUCAACAUCAAGGCCUUGUCUCAGAAGUUCACGUAGCGCUGCAACUGCACCUCGUCUCCUCUCCGCAUUUUCCGGCAAGGGAGGUAGGCCCAGUAGAUCUAAUGUGCAUGGUGCUGCAAGCUCCUCCAAGGACUCUUCUAUCUACA
This 3802-nucleotide long non-coding RNA is filed under the name Brassica napus (rape). Its description in RNAcentral is "long non-coding RNA (BNAP_LNC004565)". Lineage: Eukaryota; Viridiplantae; Streptophyta; Magnoliopsida; Brassicales; Brassicaceae. The record is from RNAcentral.